AACGAACGCUGGCGGCAGGCUUAAAACAUGCAAGUCGAACGCCCCGCAAGGGGAGAGGCGGACGGGGGAGUAAAGCGGGGGAAUCUACCCACCUCUGCGGAUAAGCUCCGGGAAACUGGAAUUAAUACCGACUACGCCCAACGGGGGAAAGAUUUAUCGGGGAUGGAUGAGCCCGCGUUGGAUUGGCUAGUUGGUGGGGUAAGGGACUACCAAGGCGACGAUCCAUAGCUGGUCUGAGAGGAUGAUCAGCCACAUUGGGACUGAGACAGGGCCCAAACUCCUACGGGAGGCAGCAGUGGGGAAUAUUGGACAAUGGGCGCAAGCCUGAUCCAGCCAUGCCGCGUGAGUGAUGAAGGCCUUAGGGUUGUAAAGCUCUUUCACCGGUGAAGAUAAUGACGGUAACCGGAGAAGAAGCCCCGGCUAACUUCGUGCCAGCAGCCGCCGUAA
Molecule: ribosomal RNA, 447 nt
Filed under: uncultured bacterium
Lineage: Bacteria
Description: partial 16S ribosomal RNA
Rfam family: Bacterial small subunit ribosomal RNA
Source: RNAcentral